GCCCCUCCUAACAGCUAGCCAACACCAAAAUGCAACAACCAACAUUAAUAACCCCACAAACACAAGCAAGCAAACAACAAAUCAUUUUUCCCCCCAAGUAUGGGUGACAGAACAGGGACCUAG
This 123-nucleotide ribosomal RNA is filed under the name Tridentiger trigonocephalus. RNAcentral describes it as "partial 16S ribosomal RNA". Lineage: Eukaryota; Metazoa; Chordata; Actinopteri; Gobiiformes; Gobiidae. The record is from RNAcentral.